RNAcentral lists this long non-coding RNA (237 nucleotides) under Elaeis guineensis (African oil palm). RNAcentral describes it as "long non-coding RNA (EGUI_LNC054705)". The record is from RNAcentral. Lineage: Eukaryota; Viridiplantae; Streptophyta; Magnoliopsida; Arecales; Arecaceae.
GACUCCACAUCUUGUGGAUGGUUAAAGAAGCAUACCACCAUGUUGUAGUCACUGAGGAGCAGCUGCGAUGUAGGAUUAUAUCCGGAUUGGAUCCUCCCCUACGAAGCAACCAAGCAUCAGAGAAUCAAUCUUGAUGUAAUACAGCUUCUACCCCUUCUGUUCGUGUUGCUGCUGAUAUGAGGUCCGCAAAGCCAGCCUCAAUGGGAUCUUCUACACUGUGAUGCUACAAUUAUGACG